This 1437-nucleotide long non-coding RNA is filed under the name Phoenix dactylifera (date palm). Its description in RNAcentral is "long non-coding RNA (PDAC_LNC000438)". Lineage: Eukaryota; Viridiplantae; Streptophyta; Magnoliopsida; Arecales; Arecaceae. The record is from RNAcentral.
AAUAUCCAAACAUGUCAAUACCAAAUAUAAUUUUAUAUACAGAUUUAACCUCGAAGAACAAUCUGCUUUAAUAUUAUAAAAAAUCAUUCUUAGCUCACUCCAAUGCUAUAAUAGAUCCAUGCACAAACUCUACUCUAAUAAUUACCAACAAAACCAAAAGUACUAUUACAUCUGCACCCAUAUCAUGUUUGAACUUUCAGAUCACUUACACAACAUCUAAACAUGAUAUAACUAAUAUGCCAAGGCUAACCUUCCUAUACAUGCCUUAGGUCUACCCUCUCUUAUCAUAAUCAAAGACAAUUUAUACUUUCCUUCCACACUCAUCGAAAACCAAAUCCGAUGCAUACAUUUUAUCACAAUGCCCAGUGAUCUCACACCUUAAGCACUGAAUUUAAUUAUCAUGUCCCAAAUGAUCAUAACCUUAAGCUAUGAUAUAUUUCUGUCACGAUCCCUAGUGAUCUUAAACAUAUGCUCAGAUUCCAACUGGUCACAUUUUCCAAUAAGCUUAAACCUCAAACUUUAAUGCCACUAAGGCCACAGUCCCUAUUGGUCUUAAACCUUAGAUUAUAAUAUCAUUCUUGUUACAAUCUCAAGUGAUUAUAAACCAAAUCUCUGAUAGUUUUUCUAUCAUAAUUCUCCACUGAUACUCACCUAAACAUAAACCCUAGGAUACCUUAACCUUAAGCUCUGAUACCACUAAAUCUGUCACGCCCCGAAUCCGAACCUAGGCCCGGGACGCGCCAGACGCCGCACACCCGCAUGGCGGACCGCACGGGCGUGCAAGGCUGAAUAAUCAGACACUCAAGUCACAACAUCAGAUCACAAUAUUAAUACUAAAAAUCUAUCAUUUAUGAUAAUCAAAUCAAUAAUUCAAUUUCAAAUGUCUCAAAUAAAGUUGAUAACAUUUAUUUACAAGAUCAAUUACUUAUGACAAAAUGAAUCUAAAUCUAUCUAUGUCUAGUGUCAUAAGUCCUCUCCUCCCGAAUCCCCCAUCAAUCAUCUCCUGCAAUUAUGUCAAAAACAGGUAUGAGCUACAACAGCUCAGUAGGUAACAACAUGCAUAAAGUCACGAUAACAUGUAUUAAAGCAUAUGCAAUGUAACUACAGGUCAUGUGCACAAAAUAAAUAUGAUGAUCCGCAAACCAAUCCGAUACUCAAGUAAUAUAUAUAUACCAUCUCAGUCUAUCAUAUCACGCAUAACAUAAUCCACAGAUCAAACCGCAUGACUAUGGCCACAUCACCCAGUGGCAUGGUCACACCGAAGUGUCAACACUCUGCUCCUAAUGGAGCCCUGCACCGCAGUGCUGCACCCCAGGGUGCCCAAUCUCUGCUCCUCAGAGCAUGCUCCGCAGAGCCAAAACACCCCAUAGUGCCGGAACUAGUUCCUCAUACAAGUCGACAGGGCCAACGUUUUCACCCCAUUGGCGGGAAUCCUNN